GAUAAUCCCAUUUGAAAACACACUUGUUCACACUUCUUGCAGAUUGCCGAUUAUGAUUUGAUUCUUUAAAUAUUUUUAAUUUAACGUUUAUAAAUAUAAUCGUUUUUUUAUGAAUUAGCGGAGAGAAACAUGGAUUUAUUGAUUAAUUUUGGUACCAAACGUGUAAGUACUUAAUAAAAGCCUUUGAAAAGUGUUUU
This is a non-coding RNA of Caenorhabditis elegans, 197 nucleotides long. The record is from Ensembl. NCBI's taxonomy places the organism in Eukaryota, Metazoa, Nematoda, Chromadorea, Rhabditida, Rhabditidae.